Molecule: long non-coding RNA, 401 nt
Organism: Lytechinus pictus (painted urchin)
Lineage: Eukaryota; Metazoa; Echinodermata; Echinoidea; Temnopleuroida; Toxopneustidae
Exons: 3
Source: RefSeq, a predicted model, not a curated record
CAUAGUUCCUUCCUCUUGGUAUGUCGAGAAGGGUUAUGGAUUGGACAAAACAUAGUGUGCAAGGAACCAGAUGUAGAAUGCAACCCACCAAUCAUACCGGCUGUUUCAUCUGUCGAGAAUUUAAGACCUCGCUACAAGGUCGGCGACGAGGUCAACGUCACUUGCAACGGCGACUCUGAUUGGUUCAUUUGGGAAUGUCACCGGGAUGGUAAAUGGCGGGGAAGGGCCAUUGAUUGCCCUAUUCCAAGACCAUCCCUUGGCCAUGUUAGUCCCGUUCCAGGAAAUACUGCAGAUAGAAAAGCCGAGGAGAGCAGAGGUUUCUUAACUACGGCCCUGCUUGUAACUGCGACGAUCAUUUUCGUUUUGGUGUUGAUGUCAAUGGCAGGCUUCUCGAUCUUCGU